This 408-nucleotide ribosomal RNA is filed under the name uncultured bacterium. RNAcentral describes it as "partial 16S ribosomal RNA". It matches the Rfam family "Bacterial small subunit ribosomal RNA", at positions 28 to 526 of the family's 1533-position model. The record is from RNAcentral.
GACGAACGCUGGCGGCGUGCUUAACACAUGCAAGUAGAACGAAGUGGCGAACGGGUGAGUAAUACGGGGAUAACCUGCUAUCCUUUUUGGGAUAAGCCUUGGAAACGGGGACUAAUAACGAAUAAAGGGGGAUGGGCUCGCGGCCUAUCAGCGUGUUGGUGGGGUGGUGGCCUAGCAACGUGGUGACGGGUAGCCGGCCUGAGAGGGUGAUCGGCCACAUUGGGACGGAGAUAUGGCACAGACUGCUACGGGAGGGAGCAGUCGGGGAUAUUGCACAGUGUGCGAAAGCAUGGUGGAGCGACUCCGCGUGGUGGAUGAAGGCUUUCGGGUUGUUAACCUCGUUGGCUAUCGAACGGGUAGGUGGCGAAGAAGCGCCGGCUAACUACGUGCCAGCAGCCGCGGUAAUAC